GAAGGGCUGUAGUUUAGUGGUAGAGAACCUGCUUUUCAUGUAGAAGGGCCUAGGUUUAAUCCCCAGCAUCUUCU
Non-coding RNA from Podarcis lilfordi (Lilford's wall lizard), 74 nucleotides. NCBI's taxonomy places the organism in Eukaryota, Metazoa, Chordata, Lepidosauria, Squamata, Lacertidae. The record is from the annotation of a GenBank genome assembly.